UUAUAGGUUUUUAUCGCUAAAUUUCCCAACUCAUCGGCCAAAAUAUUGGGGUACUGAUGAUGGUACUGACACCAGUCGCGAGUCGCGCGAGUCCUACCCUGUUGGAUCACCAUCUUGGAUUUCAGAUUUCAUGUUUGUUUAUGACUUUAAUGAGUUUAUGUUCUCGCGUUCUCGGUGUCGGUUCUCGUUUUCAUAUUAUUAUAAGAAGAGGGAUGUAAAAAAUGUUUUAUUACGAUUGACCGAUUUUGAAUUUUGUAUAUUUUCAAUAAUAUAUUGAUUAAGUUUAUAUGUUAGCUAUGGAUAUGGAAUUUAAAGCUGAAAUUAAGGAAGAGUUGGUUGAGUACAACCAAACAGAUAUGGAGAGCCAGCUAUCCACAUCCAUAGAUCUGGAAACCUUCAAAAAUGAACUAAUGGAAGAUAACUCCCCUGAAAUGGGACUAAAAGCUGAAAUAAAAGAAGAGUUGGCAGAGGAGGAUCACCUAUUUACAUCUCCAGAUCUUGAAGACUCGGUUAAUAAAGCAGAUGAAGAUAACUCAGGAUUCCUUAAGAACGGAAUGGAAAUCAUGAAAACUGAACUUGCAUGCGCUACAGAACAACAAAUAAUAAGUGCAAACACUGAAGAAACAACAUCAAAAAAUUCUAUUUGUAAAUGUAAAAUUUGUUUUAAGCAAUUUAACAAAGCAGGUUCUUUGGAACGUCAUAUAAAGACGCACACUGCAGAAAAGCUUUACAAGUGUGAAAUUUGUUUAAAGCAGUUUAGUCAAGCAAAUAGUUUGAAAGCACAUUUGAGAGUACACAGUGGAGAAAAGCCUCACAAGUGUGAAAUUUGCUUUAAGCAGUUCACUGAUAAAAGCAAUUUCCAUAUAUGAAAGUUCACACUGGAGAAAAGCCUUACAAGUGUGAAAUUUGUUUUAAGCAGUUUUCUCACAAAGUUAAUUUAAAUAGACAUUUAAGAUUGCACACUGGAGAAACGCCUUAUAAGUGCGAAAUUUGUUUAAAACAAUUUAGUCAAGCAAAUAGUUUGAAAGCACAUUUGAGAGUACACACUGGAGAAAAGCCUCACAAGUGUGAAAUUUGUUUUAAGCAGUUUAGUCAUGCACACUCUUUGAAAUAUCAUUUGAGAUGGCACACUGGCGAUAAACCUGAUAAGUGUGAUAUUUGUUUUAAGCAGUUUACUAGACCAUACCAUUUGAAACGUCAUUUGAGAGUGCACACUGGGAAAACUGGCUUACAAGUGUGAAAUUUGUGGAUUUCCUCAGAAAGGAAUGGAAUUCAUGAAAACUGAACUGGCAUGCACUACAGAACAACAAAUAGAUGCAAACACUGAAGAAUCAACAUCAAAA
Molecule: unclassified non-coding RNA, 1343 nt
Filed under: Diabrotica virgifera virgifera (western corn rootworm)
Lineage: Eukaryota; Metazoa; Arthropoda; Insecta; Coleoptera; Chrysomelidae
Description: zinc finger protein 239-like
Source: RNAcentral